CUACGGGACGCUCCAGUGAGGAAUAUUGCACAAUGGGGGGAACCCUGAUGCAGCAACGCCGCGUGGAGGAUGACGCCUUUCGGUGUGUAAACUCCUUUUAUAUGUCAAGAAAAUGACGGUAGCAUAUGAAUAAGCACCGGCUAACUCCGUGCCAGCAGCCGCGUGUAAUACGGAGGGUGCAAGCGUUACUCGGAAUCACUGGGCGUAAAGGACGCGUAGGCGGGUUGGAAAGUCAGGUGUGAAAUCCUACAGCUUAACUGUAGAACUGCACUUGAAACUUCUAAUCUAGAGUAUGGGAGGGGGAGAUGGAAUUAGUGGUGUAGGGGUAAAAUCCGUAGAUAUCACUAGGAAUACCUAAAGCGAAGGCGAUCUCCUGGAACAUUACUGACGCUAAGGCGUGAAAGCGUGGGGAGCAAACAGGAUUAGAUACCCUUGUAGUC
Molecule: ribosomal RNA, 440 nt
Filed under: uncultured bacterium
Lineage: Bacteria
Description: partial 16S ribosomal RNA
Rfam family: Bacterial small subunit ribosomal RNA
Source: RNAcentral